RNAcentral lists this ribosomal RNA (451 nucleotides) under uncultured bacterium. RNAcentral's name for it is "partial 16S ribosomal RNA". It matches the Rfam family "Bacterial small subunit ribosomal RNA", at positions 28 to 507 of the family's 1533-position model. The record is from RNAcentral.
GAUGAAUGCUGGCGGCGUGCCUAACACAUGCCAGUCGAGCGGCAGCGAGGGGUGCUUGCACCCUGUCGGCGAGCGGCGAACGGCUGAGUAACGCGUAGGAAUUUGCCCCAAAGUGAGGAAUAACUGCCCGAAAGGGUAGCUAAUGCCGCAUAUGGUCUUCGGAUUAAAGGAUUUAUCCGCUUUGGGAGAAGCCUGCGUUGGAUUAGGUUGUUGGUAGGGUAAUGGCCUACCAAGCCGACGAUCCAUAGCUGGCCUGAGAGGAUGAUCAGCCAGACUGGAACUGAGACACGGUCCAGACUCCUACGGGAGGCAGCAGUGAGGAAUCUUCCACAAUGGGCGAAAGCCUGAUGGAGCAACGCCGCGUGAAGGAUGAAGGCCUUCGGGUUGUAAACUUCUUUUAUGAGUGAAGAAUAUGACGGUAACUCAUGAAUAAGCACCGGCUAACUACGUG